This 256-nucleotide ribosomal RNA is filed under the name Klebsiella pneumoniae. Its description in RNAcentral is "partial 16S ribosomal RNA". It matches the Rfam family "Bacterial small subunit ribosomal RNA", at positions 831 to 1086 of the family's 1533-position model. Lineage: Bacteria; Pseudomonadati; Pseudomonadota; Gammaproteobacteria; Enterobacterales; Enterobacteriaceae. The record is from RNAcentral.
CUUGAGGCGUGGCUUCCGGAGCUAACGCGUUAAAUCGACCGCCUGGGGAGUACGGCCGCAAGGUUAAAUCUCAAAUGAAUUGACGGGGGCCCGCACAAGCGGUGGAGCAUGUGGUUUAAUUCGAUGCAACGCGAAGAACCUUUCCUGGUCUUGACAUCCACAGAACUUUCCAGAGAUGGAUUGGUGCCUUCGGGAACUGUGAGACAGGUGCUGCAUGGAUGUCGUCAGCUCGUGUUGUGAAAUGUUGGGUUAAGUC